This is a non-coding RNA of Gossypium raimondii (Peruvian cotton), 144 nucleotides long. NCBI's taxonomy places the organism in Eukaryota, Viridiplantae, Streptophyta, Magnoliopsida, Malvales, Malvaceae. The record is from Rfam.
UAUUUAAAAUUUCAUCUAUUUGUACUGUUAAAAAUUGGCAUGGCUAGCAGAAUAAUCAGACAGUGAGAUAUGGCAUCCACAUGUAUCUUAUGUGGAUAUACAGAGACCAGCUUUUAACCAUAAAAAUGGAUGAAACUUUUAACA